GGGGUGGGGCCGUGGGGGGUGGCCAAAAGGAGUUCUAUUUUUUGGUUUAGGUAAUCGAGACGCAAUCUCGUCUUCGUCUUCGUCCGUGGUGGUUUGAGUCGAGCGAGGCGUUCUUUCUGUGAGAGUGGUCGCCGCCGGCCCGCCGUCUAGCUGCGGUUCUUUGUAUUCGCAACACGAACUAGCGUAGUUGGGUUGAGUGUUCAGUGUUGACGACGUUCCACGACGGCGGGGAAUGAGAGGGACACACUAGGUCGAACCUGCUCCUGCUCAGGAACAACGGCAACACGAGAGGGCCUGGGUCUAGAACUACGUUGACGGCCGAUCAAAUGAGUAGAUCUCCCUUCCUCCAGACGAACCCGAGAACUGGACUAAACUAAACCACCCCCGAGACGGCGCCAAGUUUCCCCCUGUCAACCCGCACCUAGAAAUAGUGGUCAACAACCACAACAGGAAAGUGUAGCGUCACCGGUGGCCAAACCAUGAAACAACUACCCAAUUCACAACACCCAAACAACUCCGCAAAGAAGAACCGAGGGUAAGCCACCACUGGCCACUCCAUCCCCUUUCAUCUUCUCGAUCUCUCUUUCGUUUUUCCCCUCCUCUAAACGUCCGACAAAAAGCCAAAACCGUGUUACUUCGUAUACUUCGAACCGAGGUUCGGCCUACAGAAAGUCUGUCUCCCGUCGUUAUAGUCCAAACAACGUUGUCUCGACCGUUGUCUGUAGCAAUAGAGGUAUCCCCUACAGUUCAAAAUAGAAGUGUUCAAGGGAGAAAACAGUUUCUCAAGUGCCAACGUUUCUAAUCAUCGAAGUUCAUUGGUCCUUUCGCUGCUACUUCACUUAUAUAGGCUGUAAGGACCACCACGAAGACGUAAACUUUAAACACGGUUCAAAACGAUGCCGUACUAACAUUGUGAGUUACGUAUAUUACAAGAACGACGAGCAACACGUCGACUCAUGGAUCUUUACAAACUCUGGUAACUGUUUCCUUUAGAAUAGAUGUUUUAACUACACAAGAACUGUAGCUCGUAAAAAGCGUGGACCUUUCUGAGUUAGUAUCAAGACGUUUCAUGUUUCAGCAACGACGGUACCAGACUCUUAAACUUCCAUUAGUUGGUGACGUAACUAAGGUAACGUAGCUUCCGCAGUUAACUAGGCAGUCUCCAACUCACCAGUAUGUGGAUGUUGUCUUUUUUCGAGGUUAGGUUCUUACCACAACUAAGAGUGACCUUACCUCAGUCCUACGUUGUCUACCAGGGAUUCCUGACCACCCAACUCCUGGAAAGACUUGAACUUUACCUAAACAUGUUCGCACACGAGGAUUGUUAGUUCCGUUUCCCUUCUUGUGGACGACAUCAAUAACCUCUUCGUGAUUCUCAGAUACGUAAGGCUACCGACAAACCAAGGGAACUUCUACGACACUCGUUACCUUAACUAACGUGUUUUGCAGCACGUCAAGAGCUUUCGUAACAUAAAGACGACGGGUGACUUUUUCCAAGUCACAGUACACCAAAAGAAGAGUUCAAUGAUUUACGACGUACGAACGACCUUAGACCUCUCAAAAUAGCACUAUUGAACCAUUUCUCUUAUCCGUGGGUUGACCUACCACGAAGUCAACGUCUGGAAGAAUAUGGUCGUUGGUCACGACUUUUACCACACAUAUUACAACUGGACUAGUACCGUUAUCAUCUCGUCAAGUACAGUGUAGUAUCACUAUUACCAUUUUACUGAAAAGUUCUACUACUACUUUAACACCUUCAGCUCUUCAAACGAAGACAAAGGUCGUGCAGUUUCGACCGUCAACGUUUCGACCAGCUACUUAUAGAACCACUCUAGCGAUUUCUGGGAUUGGACGGACAAGACUUCAAGUAACGUGAACGACUUUACCACAGACGGAGCAGGGCUGUUUACGUACUGCUUGAUAUGGUACGGUAGCUGUACAUAGAUUUCCUCGUGGGGUCGGAUAGUUUCUCGCUUUUCUUCUCUAAUACACCUAACUACCUGACGUUCUUCGACAGGGUCCUCCGGACGUACGUGCGCCACGUCUUACUUGCCGAAGGAGAAGCACAGCAACACGUUCAAGAGAAGAAACUCGUUCAGGCUCGUAGUCGGCGAAGACGGUCCUCACUGAGACCUCGGCUGGAAAGUAGGCGACAAGUGAGCGAAGAAGGGUCUCUCUUGCCGUUGAGUAUGCCGUCGAGUUCCAGUCGGCGGUGUUGUUGUUGGCUUCUCCUUCCGUCACCUCAGGGCUGUAGGUCGCUGUAUUUGAGAAAGUCCAGCUACGCCGAGCGCUUGUUGACGCCACCGUCGCUCUCCUCGUCGUGUUCGUCGCUGUAGUUGUUCUUGCCGCUUCUGUUCUCGUGGUGGUGGCCGUUCCGCUUUCACUACGACUACGGCUUCUACGAUUCGUUCGAGACCAGACCCUUCUGCGUGCAACCGCUCUUGUCGUCGAGUCUGCGCAGCCACUCGGGGCCUAGGCGGUUGGGCCUCCUCCACUUCAGCUGCGGCAGUGCCUUGUGCUCCGUUAGCUGCAGGAUCACCGACCACGAUUGUCAUAGUAUCGUGUGCAUCAAAAAGCGACAGUAACGAAACUAAAAAACGAAAUGUGCUCUCAUCGUUAGAAUUUUUCACCUCAUGAUGACUGACGGGACGGGACAGCGGUUACUACAAAAACUUCGUAAAAUACGAUCAUUGACCACAUCGGGCAUCUCCAGACCGGUAACCACAAGUCCUUGUGUAAAGUCCUCUAUUUUGACAUUAACAAAAACAAAAGCCACCGUUAUAUUUUCCUUCGGAAAAAACCUCCUCCGUCUGACCG
This 2817-nucleotide ribosomal RNA is filed under the name Triticum aestivum (bread wheat). Its description in RNAcentral is "partial small subunit ribosomal RNA". The record is from RNAcentral. Lineage: Eukaryota; Viridiplantae; Streptophyta; Magnoliopsida; Poales; Poaceae.